Molecule: microRNA precursor, 190 nt
Filed under: Oryza brachyantha (malo sina)
Lineage: Eukaryota; Viridiplantae; Streptophyta; Magnoliopsida; Poales; Poaceae
Description: MIR812 microRNA precursor family
Rfam family: MIR812 microRNA precursor family
Source: Rfam by way of RNAcentral
AAUAAACCAAUUUUUCAUUUUUUACCUAUAAUUUUUGACUCUUCGUCUCAUUCAAAUUUUUUUUACGAUUGAUAUUUUUGUUUUUAUUAAAUGAUAAAUAAUGAAUAGUAUUUUACGUGUGAUUAAUUUUUUUUCUAAUUUUAUAAAAAAUUUAAAUAAGACGAAUGAUCAAAUGUUAGAUAUGAAAACU